ACACGGGCACAAAUCUCCUGGGGGGGACAGCAGCAGGGGGAAUAUUGUACACUGUGGGCCAACACUGAUGCUACCACACAUCGCGUGAGUGAUGAAGACCCUAGAGUGGUAAAGAUCUUUUUUCGCGGGAAGAUAAUAAUCGGUGCAGCAAGAAUAAGACGCCCCGCUAAAUUCGUGCCAGCAGCACGCGGUAAUAUAAAGGGGGCUAGAGUUGUUCUGAAUCACUGGGGGUAAAGAGUGCGUAGGAGGGGUAUAUAUGUCUGGGGUGAGAUCUUGGAGCUCUCAUCCAGAGCUGCGCCUGAUAUUGAGGAUCUCGAGUUUGGGAGAGAUGAGAGGAGAACGAGAGUAGAGAUGAAAUUCGUAGAUAUAUUCAAGAACACCAGUGGCGAGAAGGCUCUCUGGCCUCAUACUGACGCUGAGACACGAGAGAGUGGGGAGCACACACGAUUAGAUAUCCCGGUAGUGCACGCCGUAAACGAUGAAUACCAUCCGUUAGUGGGUUUACUCCCUAGUGGGGCACAUAACGCUCUAAGCAUUUCCCGCGGGGAGAACGGUCUCAAGAUUAAAACUCAAAGGAAAAUUCGGGGGCCCGCACAAGAGGUGGAGCACAUGGUUUAAUUUUAGGCAACGCGCAGAGCCCUUCCACACCUUGACACGUCCCGGGCCGGUUGCAGAGAUGUGUCUUUUUCUUUGGAGCCUGGAACACAGGUGCUGCAUGGCUGUCGUCAGCUCGUGUCGUGAGAUGUUGGGUUAAGUCCCGCAACGAGCGCAACCCCCGUCCUUAGUUGCUACCAUUUAGUUGAGCACUCUAAGGAGACUGCCGGUGAUAAGCCGAGAGGAAGGUGGGGAUGACGUCAAGUCCUCAUGGCCCUUACGGGCUGGGCUACACACGUGCUACAAUGGCGGUGACAAUGGGAAGCUAAGGGGCGACCCUUAGCAAAUCUCAAAAAGCCGUCUCAGUUCGGAUUGGGCUCUGCAACUCGAGCGCAUGAAGUUGGAAUCGCUAGUAAUCGUGGAUCAGCACGCCACGGUGAAUACGUUCCCGGGCCUUGUACACACCGCCCGUCACACCAUGGGAGUUGGUUUUACCUGAAGAGCGGUGCGCUAACCCGCAAGGGAGGCAGCCAACCACGGUAGUC
This 1139-nucleotide ribosomal RNA is filed under the name Bradyrhizobium sp. SCAUS21. RNAcentral describes it as "bacterial SSU rRNA". It matches the Rfam family "Bacterial small subunit ribosomal RNA", at positions 324 to 1467 of the family's 1533-position model. Lineage: Bacteria; Pseudomonadati; Pseudomonadota; Alphaproteobacteria; Hyphomicrobiales; Nitrobacteraceae. The record is from RNAcentral.